Molecule: long non-coding RNA, 865 nt
Filed under: Coffea arabica (coffee)
Lineage: Eukaryota; Viridiplantae; Streptophyta; Magnoliopsida; Gentianales; Rubiaceae
Description: long non-coding RNA (CARA_LNC004469)
Source: RNAcentral
GCUAAGAGAAUUCUCAACUACGGAUAACCACGUUGAGAUCAGUCAACUUUUAUUUUUUUGUCAAAACAAUAGGUAACUUUUAUAGAUUUGUAAAGUUGUACAUUUACGAGCAAAGACUCGAAAGAGUUAUACAAUCAAUAUACUUGAACAUUGAAAAAUAAAAAAUGAGCUAAUUACAAAAAUGUGCUCCUCAUCUUGUAUUAUGUCUACGGCAUAUCAUAUCAGCUAAUUCUGGGCCUGUUUGGAAUCUUGGUUUUUUACCAAAUUUGUAUAAAACUAGUUUUUUAACAACUUUUACUACAGGAAUCCCAAAAAACUAAUCAAAGUUUUUAACUUACACACUUCAAAAAUACACAAAAAACUUUCCCUUCAACUUUUCUUCUUUUUCCUCCCCCACCUAACCCACCACGUCCUCCGUCGCCGGCCACCACCUCCACCACCGCUGCCGACGCCGGUCACUAUUCCGGCAGCCAGUUCCGGCCUCCAUCUUUUUUUUUUCUCUCUCUUCCUCACCUGCUCUGCUCCUCUCCUCUCCCCUUUGACCGAUCUGUUGGUGCUCUUUUUCUUUUUUUUUUUUCCUUUCUCCCUCCCCCCUCCCCUCUUCGCCUCUGCCUCCCCCCUUUGACCAAUCAGGUUGCUCGACCAGAUUGCAAGGGGGAGCGGGAAGGGAGGGGUGGCGGGAAAGGGAGAGGGGAAGAGAAAAAAAGCAAAAAAAAAAAAAAAGGAGGGUGGCGGGGGAAGGAAAGGGAGGGGAGAGGGAGAAGAGGGAUGGCGGGGGAAGAAAGAAAAAAAAGCAAAAAAAAAAAAAGAAUCACCUGCUAGUUGCUGCCAUGGAAGUCUCGGGAGAGGGAACAAGGGAGGGAGA